ACAAUGGGCGCAACAAAGGGCAGCAAGACCGCGAGGUGGAGCUAAUCCCAAAAAUACGCCCUCAGUUCAGAUUGCAGUCUGCAACUCGACUGCAUGAAGUUGGAAUCGCUAGUAAACGCAGGUCAGCUAUACUGCGUUGAAUACGUUCCCGGGGUUUGUACACACUGCCCGUCAAGUGAUCCGAAUUGUCUUCACCCGAAGUCCGUGGCCUAACCGUAAGGAAGGAGCGGCCGAAGGUGAGGGGGGUAAGGAGCACUAAGUCGUAACAAGGUAACC
Molecule: ribosomal RNA, 276 nt
Filed under: uncultured bacterium
Lineage: Bacteria
Description: partial 16S ribosomal RNA
Rfam family: Bacterial small subunit ribosomal RNA
Source: RNAcentral